UACGAAGGGGGGCUAGCGUUGCUCGGAAUCACUGGGCGUAAAGCGCACGUAGGCGGCUUCUUAAGUCAGGGGGUGAAAUCCUGGAGCUCAACUCCAGAACUGCCUUUGAUACUGAGGAGCUCGAGUCCGGGAGAGGUGAGUGGAACUCCGAGUGUAGAGGUGAAAUUCGUAGAUAUUCGCAAGAACACCAGUGGCGAAGGCGGCUCACUGGCCCGAUACUGACGCUGAGGCACGAAAGCGUGGGGAGCAAACAGG
This 255-nucleotide ribosomal RNA is filed under the name uncultured bacterium. RNAcentral describes it as "partial 16S ribosomal RNA". It matches the Rfam family "Bacterial small subunit ribosomal RNA", at positions 524 to 776 of the family's 1533-position model. The record is from RNAcentral.